CCUCACUGUGGGUUGCAGCUGGGGGGUGGAUUUGGGACAAAGUCUGCACCCACAACCCUGAACCUCUGGAUCCUGUGCAAAGGCAAGGUGUGUGGAAUAAACACCUGCUGUGCACCCAGCUGGACUCUACAGCACCUACUGUGUAUUCACACUCCUGCAGGAACCCGUGUUCUUAAAGAUGAAUAAUGCUCCGCCCCCCAUGCUGGGUCUUCUGGGGAUGAGCCACAGCCUGGAGGAGCUGAGGAGGCCACAUCACAUGAGGAAGCUUUACUGUUUCCCCUUCUCCUGAAAUGUGUCUGGGAUGGAGAGUGUGGAGAGUGGGCCCACCUUUAUCUGGGUCCACUCAGGCUGCUGCAGAGACUACCCCAGACUGGGUGGCUGAUAGACAAGACAUUCAUUUUCCACACUUCCUGAGACUGAGAAGUCUGAGAUGAAGGAUCUUGGAGGACCUGGGGAUCAACAGCCAGACUUGGAUGCUCAGGAUGAUUUGGGAUGUGCUUCUAACUACCUGUACUGUCUGGAGAAACCUAGAAGCAAGGAAGCUGCCACCAUGAUGCAGCGGGGAGUCCGAGGCCCUGGGAGGUCAUAUGACUCAUUCAAGGUCAUCCUGCUGUGGCAGAGAUGCGAUGAAGCCCUGGCUUUGACCCCAACCCCAGGUGCCAGAGUCUUCCCUGCCCUGUACAGCCCUGCUCAUGCCAUGGUCUCCUGUGGACGUUCCCUCCUUCCCACGUUGGCGGUAUUGCUGUCCAAGCUUUGCAGGGGAGGAAUCUGAGGAAUUGAGAAGUCAAGUAACACACCCAAUAGGAUAACUAGGCCUUCUUGGCAGCCAACCUCGAAGCACCACAUCGGGCUUUGAAAUGUGCGGGGCCUUUGAGAUUCAGCGCAUCUGAAUCUGAAUUUAUGCCGUCUCACUUGCUGGAAUCUACUGAUCUGUCCACUGUUCCUGGAAGAAAUACUUUGUUUUCAUGUGCCAGUUGCCUUUCCAGCCUGACUGUCAGCCCAAGGUCGCAGAGAAGAUCUGAUUGCAUGUCCUUGAUUUUGCUGCUCCCAUUCCGAGAACCAGCUUCCUCCUCUGGAAGGUCGACUGAGGGGGGCUUGACUGGACUUGGCUCAAGGCUGCAAGUGGUCCAGGUCUGCUCUGUGUGUCUUUCAUCCUCCCCAACCAGUUAGAAAACGUGAUAUCCUCUUCUACGAUGAUGAUGGAAAUACAAAAUUGGUGUUCAGGCACUUCAGGACCUCUCACCUCUGUGAAGGGACUUGGGAGACACCCAGAAAAUGAUGAAAAAUGGAGUGAAUGAGACAUUAAGCCAGUUGUGCACCAUUACCCAGCUCGCAGCCCCAUCUCCUGAGGCCAGUUGCCUAGUGGAUGCUGGAGGCAGCAUUUGGACUCAGGCAGUCGAAUCCCAGAGCCCGAAUCCUGCCGUUCUCACUGUCAUCCUGGAGCUCCAGAGCCUGUGGUCACUCAGCUGGCAACCUCACAGGCAGGCCAGCCCCUCCCCAAGCUCAUUUUCCUUAUGGCCUUGCACUGACCUCAACUUUCUUGGACAUCAAAUGGUAAGUAUGCAACACCUGCCUCCAAGCUUAGUGCAUUUCCUUAUACCUUUGACAAACAUUUACCCUGCAGCUGCUUUGUCCCAAUACGGCAUUGCUGCUUGGGAUCCAGCAAUGACCCAGUGAGAAUCUUGGCUGUCAUGGCAUUGACAGGCGGCACCCUUACUAUGCAGAGUGUGGUCCAAGGACCAGCAGCUUGGGCAGCCCCUGGAGCUGGACAGAACUACAGACCCUCAGCCCUGCCUCAGCCCUGCUGAACUGGGAUCUGUAUUUUAACAAGAUCCAUGAGAUUCAUUCCUAUGAAGGUUGAAGUUUGAAAAGCACUGCCUUGGGCCCACUUCUCACCCCAGGCUUCACAUUAGAAGGCUCUGCUCUGCAGGGCUUUAAAAAUACUGCCCCCUCCCCAGCCCUGCCUCAGGACCCAUUAAAUCAGAACCACUGAUGAUGUUUAAAAGCUCUCAGAUGGGAUCGAGAA
Non-coding RNA from Sus scrofa (pig), 2026 nucleotides. Lineage: Eukaryota; Metazoa; Chordata; Mammalia; Artiodactyla; Suidae. The record is from RefSeq and is a predicted model, not a curated record.